AUGGACAUCGAGGGAAUGGAAUUCCUACUGGAUGCGGUCGACAGGUUCCCCGUGUGGGAGGAGUUUGCCGACAACCUUGACCACAUAGAUCCAGUCCCGAUGAUGUACCUUCUGGAUAAUGGGGCUGCUAAUCAGGAUAUUCGCCAGGGGGAUGUUGAUUCCGGGAUAACUGAGAUGGUGUGCGAUGGUGUGCUCACCGACGCUCAGGUAGGUGGCCAGCGUAGGCGUGAUGAAUCUCCGACGAGGUCUGCCCAGUCGACGGGAAGAGUAAAUCCGCAGGCCCCCGGCUGGACUAAAAGGCUUCGUCUCGGGAGUGUGCCACCGGACCGUGUGCCCUGUCCUUCAAGGAUGAGCGCCCUGGAGCUAUCAAUGCGUAAAUACGCUGAGCAACCUGACAAGAAUGUGGUCCGACCUGAGCUAGGUCUUAGUUUUGAUUCACUGGGCGAGGCGUAUGAUUUCUACAACUUGUAUUCUUGGGAAAUCGGUUUUGGGAUAAGAUAUGGAAAAAGCAGGCUGAACGCCGAGAGAACCAAAAGCAUACAGGAGAUAGUUUGUGGUUGUUCGGGGGAAACCAGACGCUGA
Molecule: ribosomal RNA, 582 nt
Filed under: Triticum aestivum (bread wheat)
Lineage: Eukaryota; Viridiplantae; Streptophyta; Magnoliopsida; Poales; Poaceae
Description: partial small subunit ribosomal RNA
Source: RNAcentral